GGCAUGAGUAGAUGGGGCUGAAGAUACAGGUGGCCCUGGGACUCUAAGUGUCAGUAUGGGGAACUGCAACAGAGGUGGGCUGUGAGCUUCAUUUUAAAAAGGACCUAGUGAGUGGAAGACUAGCAGGGAACAGAUACGAUGGCAGCAAAGGCUCAGCAUCCAGCUGCAAACAGGGAUUGGCGGAGACUACACCUGGCUGGAGGUGGGGGAAGCACAGCAGACAGAAAACAGCCACUCAGAAGCCAAGACUAGCUUCAAAACUGAAACCACCUUGGAAGUUAUAAUCACCAUGUUAAAAAUUACAGUUCUCAGAAAGCACAGGGCACGAAAUAUCCCCACCAAUAAGCAAGUGAAGCAGAAAGACCUGAGACUUCCCCUUGGGUUACAGCUGGUGUCCAGUUCAACAAUCCUGAGGUUAACUUGUACUAAGCUGCCAGCAAGGUUGCUUAGUUACUUUGCACUAGUUGCCUGUCAGACAGAGUAAGGCAAGCUGCCUUUCAGACAACACGAAGGGCAUUCUGGUAAAUUGCCAAGAAUAAUGCUUCAAAGUGGGACAGAUUAGAACAGCAAGACUUCAAACAAGACUUCAAUGUGUAUGGGCAUGUCUCCUUGUUCCCAGAGACGUAAAGCACUUGAUGGCUUCCAAAACCCUUUCUUUAGGCAAUGUUGCUUGGCAUUCCUUGUCAUGUAAGCCCCAACAGCUGCUCUGCCCCCAAGUUCCAUCUGCCAUGACACAUGCAGGAUCUUCUCCACUGAAAAUCAUAUGCACUGUUAAUUACAGCAAGUGGAAAUUCUGCCACAGUGCACACUGUGACUCUUCGGGCUGCCAAGGCUGUGCCUUGAACAGGAAUCGUUCCAAGGUGUAUAAAGAUUGCCAAUUUAAGAGUUAACGUUAAAGAUUAACUAAGAACUCUCCACGAGAUUAUUACGACCUGACAUUCCGAUCACCUUUCAGGCCUCAAAGCCCUCUGCAAAGAUGGCUACUGUCCCGCUUUCAUGGAGAUAGACCUUAACAUGGAGUCAGUGGCCCAGUCAGAAAUAGAAACCAGAUCUCAGAGUUUCUGGAUGUAUGUACUAGACAACAUGUGGCGUUGCAUGUUGGAUCUGCCUUUUUCCUUCUAAACUACUACAGAGCACUGAUGGUUAAACGAGACCUUGAAGGUUCAUGUCUCCGGAGGGUUAACUGCACUUCAUCCUGUUGAGAAGCAGAAAGCCUGCCAAACGGGCCACAGGAUGAUUGAGGUGCUGAACAAGCACUCAAGGAAAAGAAGGCUGCUGCAGAAAAGCUAAAUGAAUUCUUUGCAUCAGUCUUCACUGCAGAGGAUGUGAGGGAGAUUCCUAAAGAGACUGGAUCAGGUGUGGGUGACAAAUCUGAGGAACUGUUCCAGAUUGAGAUGUGUUGGAAGGAAUCCACAAGGGAAGGCGAGAAACCCGUUGCCUUUUCCAGGAACCCCUCUGUAAAGAGACUCUACCCACAACCAAUAUCUAGAUCAUAACAUGUGACCUUGGGCACAGAUCUUCAGCUUUGACACACGGCAAUUAUUAUUAGUGCAUCACAGACCUCGGUUAAAUCACUGUUAUAGGCUGCAAAAAUGAAGAUAAGGCCUGCCAGAGAGAGAUGAGACUUGACUGUCACUAUUACGUAACUGCAAUAUAAGCUAUGCACCACCACAGCUUUGGGACGGACAGAUGAAAUAAAAAACCCAAACCCACAGAAAUCUCAAACCAUUAGUCCAGGCUCCCACAUUCCCACUCACUAAAUCCCAAACCCCUCCAAUUCUAUUCAGGUUCUUAUAAUGUCGCUAUCACCACGGCAUCGAAAUGCUUCACAAAGGUCUGAGUAAGUGACA
Mauremys reevesii (Reeves's turtle) is the source of this 1850-nucleotide long non-coding RNA. RefSeq lists it as uncharacterized. NCBI's taxonomy places the organism in Eukaryota, Metazoa, Chordata, Testudines, Geoemydidae. The transcript has 3 exons. The record is from RefSeq and is a predicted model, not a curated record.